UUACACAUUUAUAUCUGGUAUGUAUAUAUAAUAUACAUAUUUUUUUUUUGUAUUAUACGUGUGUGUAUAUAUACAUAUACAUAUAGACGUAUGUAUGUAUACACAUAUAGAUGCGCGUGUUGGUUUUUUGUAGUCUUUUUUUUGUAAUAUAUAUAUUUAUAUGAUCAUAUACAUAUGUUAUUUUAAGGUAUGCUCGGUGACUACGCUUACGGCUCCUACUUUUGCUUUCUUUCGCUGUGUGCAUCAUCUCUUACAAAUUUCUGUUAAACAUUCUUGUGUUAACGCUAAACUGUUUUCACGAAAUUCUAGAGUUUGCGUCUCGAGAACACGGACGAAGGAUGGAGGCAGCAGCCGCAGCUUGUUUCCUAUAUAUUUUUAUUUCCGUGUUUAUGCCUUGUUGUGUUUUACGUUUACGUGUAGUAUUUAUGUGUGCGUGUGUGUAUAUGUCGUGUAACGGUGCUCGAUGUGAUUUGCGGAUAUAGUUAUUGCGCUAUUCAUUUUUUUUUUUCGUGAACGUUUCUUUUCUUCUUCUUAUUUGUUAACUUAGCGAUCGUCAAGCUAGACUAGAUUACUAAGCCUAGAGUUGUUGUUAAGUUUCUCGCCGCUACGUUCUCUAUACGUACGCUGCCGUGUAGAGAAUGUGAUUUUGUUUGUACGUGUGUAUUUACAUACGUGUACGUGUGUUUGUGCGUGCGUGCGUGCGUGCGUUUUACCUGUACGAGUGUCAAUGUACGUGUCAUUUUGUAUUCCUUUUUCUGGGCGUGAUUACGCACAUGACUUAGGUACCAUAAAUGGAUUUGACCAUUUUCUAUUAGACAUAUCACUCUAGCGUGCAUUCUCUCUCUCCCAUUCUCUCUUGCUCUCAUCCUUCUGUAUUGUUCGCAUCAUUCUCACCCUUUUUUGCCUAAAUUUCUUUACACGGUUUUCCUCGAUUCCACUCUCGCUUCGUGGUCGUUACUUUCCAAAACCCCGUGGUAUCUUCUACUAAUUAAAUUACAUUAAUUAUCUACUUAUCACUUUAUACUACAUUUGGUUUCCCCUUUGACGCUGCGCCGUGUAUUUCUUUAUUUUUUCUCCUUUUACUUGGCUAGCUUCAUUCGCUUUAUUACCUAGACAACGUACUCGAGACUAGCGGUAAGUUCUAUACACGCCUUAAUGCUUAAGGCGUCAUUCUUCAAAUACUUUUUACAGGACGAGGAUCCCCGCUGAUUCUUUAAAAGAGUGGGGGACCACUCUCUUUCUUCCCGUUGAAAGUGGAAUCGAGUCGAGAAGUGAACUUUCUGGCAAGGGGAGUGAUUAU
This 1300-nucleotide unclassified non-coding RNA is filed under the name Bombus terrestris (buff-tailed bumblebee). Its description in RNAcentral is "misc RNA ENSBTSG00005022131.1". The record is from RNAcentral. Lineage: Eukaryota; Metazoa; Arthropoda; Insecta; Hymenoptera; Apidae.